AAACAGAAAGAUAAACUAAAUUAUGUCAGAAGAACAUAAUGUGUAAAAUAUAUAAUAAAAUUAAAGAUGAGAUUAGCCCCUGAAAAUCUCUCUAUCAUGACCUGAAAGCCUACUAAUUUGGUCCUGAGAGGUAUGGCCCUUCCUAGUUUUAACAGUGAGAAAUAUAUCGCCCUGGGUCCUGAUGGAGAGAACCUAUGGAGGAUAAGGCCCCCUCCAGUGGAGAAAGAAAAGACCCCAUUAUGACUGCUACAUCCCUUGCUGACGAUGGCCGGGGAGGCCAGCACUCCUGCCAGUGUAUACUAAAGUAUUGCUGUCCAAAUUAUCCAGCUUCAUCUUUGCCAUCUAUCGCAGUCAUGUUCAAUGUCUUAUAACAAGCAAUGAUGCUCUUCUGGUUCAAUAAAAUCUUACACAAGCUCAGAGAAAAGGGUGGGUGGGUCAUUGCUUCAGGGGGAGAGGGGCUGAUCAUUUUCUUAGGGCCUCUUUCCCCACGCAGAGACUGGUGAGGCCUGAUGAGUCACCUUUGCUCUGAAUCCCAAGCGUCUGAAAACCCCUUGUCCAAUCUAGGCAAAAGGAUGGACAUCAGAAAGGAAAGAGGGAGGGAGGGAGGGAAGGAGGGAAGCAAUAGAAGAAUGAAAGGAGAGAGGAAAGAAUGUUGGUUUUUAUUGCAGCUUGCACAGGAUUCUUGUGGGAGCCAGUAGGGAAACUGUAAUUUUGAAUCGGAUAAAUUGGGGCUACCUCUUCUUGUUCAUCAAGACCACUCUUAGCUCUUUUCAUCCCAAUAAAACAAACCAUGAUCCACCAAGAGACUGAGGAGAUAGUACGGUGCCCUUCUAAGUGUCUGGGCUCCAAACCAAACUGCCUGGGUUUGAAUCCUGGCCCUGCUACUUAUUUGCUGUGUGAUACUGGACAAGCAAUUUAACCUCUCUGUGCCAGUUUUCUCAUCUGCAGAAAUGGGUGCUGACAGUACCUACCUCAUGGGAUCAUCGUGAAGAGAAAAUGUGUUAGUAUAUGUAUGGCAUUUAGAAUAGUGUUCAGCGCACAGUAAGGGAAUAAAUGUCAGCCGUCGUUAGCUGUGGGUAUAUAAAGACACUAUUUCCGCAAUGUCAGUUUUUGCCCACACAGUUUCCAGUCCUCUGCUCUCAGGUGGGACAGGUUGGCUCUCAGGGCCUCAGGAUGGCUCAGCUCACCUGGCAGUGGGGGCAGGUGGCUGAGGACUUUCCCCACCGACUGCAGCUGAGGUUCUAUGGGCAUGGUGGGUUGAGCAGGGGGAGGAAUGAGGUUAGGAGUCCUUUCAUUGUUUUGCUCGGGCAGAAGGACUCUACGGUAGCAUGCAGCCAUGAUCUUAUUUUACAGCUGCAGGAUGUGGGUAGAUAAACUUCUCCCUAAUCCAUAUGAUCUAUAAGCCCAAAGGUUGUUUAAUAGGGGGUGGUCGCAGGGGGUCCAUGGCCUCCUCCUUUACAGUGGCUAUGUGAUAUGGCUGAGCUCUGAGAAAGAGCACUUGGCUAUGAUGCAGCUGGCCUAAAAUUCAUAGCCCCAUUCUGUUGAUCUGAUCUACUUCUGGGGGAUAAGGUGGCACCACAGCGUCUCAGGUGCUAUAUAGGAGACUUCCCAAGAGUUUCCCAUAUCAAUUUUAAGGUGCUGUCUACACAUGAGGGGACAGUUUUAUGAAGACACAGGGGAGAGUUACCAGCAGAGUGAUGGCCAAAGCUUUGAGCUAGAAGGUUUUUAUCUUCCUGACACAUCACCCUGGGGUUUUCCUGAUGUUUCCAUCCAUCUGUUAAGUGCAGUGUGAGGUCAUGUCCUGCAGGGAGUUUGCCAUUUACUCUGGAAUACCAAACUUACAGGCCACACUCUAGGUACAGACAGCGCUAGUCCUGUGGGCAGUUGGGAAGAGGAGUGGGGGGCUUUGUGGCCGAGGAGGGGCUUCGGGUCAGCAAGGUUGAUGGUUGGGUUUGAACAGUCAGUGGAGAAGGAAUCGCGGACAGACCAAAGAAGUGGACAUGGGCAUGUGCAUGCCAGAGAGGGCAGGGAGAAGGGAUUCAUGGAGGUGGCAAGAGCAGCACAUUGAUCUCUGCUUCUGCCAGAAGGUCAGAGGGGCUCGAGGGGAUGGCCUAGCCAGAGUACGGGCAGCCUUGAAGCCCCAGUGGAAUAAUUUCAACUUGAUUUAUGGAAAAUGACAUAUGACAAUGUAGGAGGGCUUGUCUUCUAACUGAAACCAGCUGGGAAUCUUUCCCAAUAGAGUCCAGGACAGGGCAAAAUGAGGGCCUUUGGCAUCAUGUGCAAAUGUGCAUGCAUGUAACGAGUGUGUGUGGCCUGCCAUGCUUCUGAAGGUACCUUUACCUCUUCUAGUUCUUCGAAGCGCUUAACCCUCUUAUCUGUGAGCAUGGACAAUGUGGGGCUUACACAGACAUGGUUCUUUAUGAGCCUUCACAAGACCACAGUGUGCCAUCUUGUCAGAAGAAGAAAGUGGGGCACUCUAUUCUAAAGAGCCUGGUUCUGGGAGCUGCCCUUGAAUCACUGUGGAGCAAGACUCGGGGUGUGGGCUGCCGGGCCUCUUCCUUCAGGGAUCUGGCUUCCAAAGUUGGUUCUUUUCCUGCAUCUCAUAAAGAGGGAAAGGGUGUGCCUAAGAGAGGUUAUUUGGGUGAACGGCCAUUGUAAUCGCUUCUCAUCCGGCACAGGUGGAUAGAGGCAGGAUGGGGGAAGAGGGCUGCCUGUAUCUGGGAUUUCCAAUUCCCCAUACUCCUCAGCCUAUUAGUGAGGGGGAGCUAGAGGAGGGGUGUGGACUUAGCAUAUUAAGAAAGAGAAGCACUUACUCCUUAACAGUGGGAACGAAGGAUGGCAGAGGAAGUUUGAACUCUGAGACAAGAGGAGUGGCCUACCCUGGUGGAGACAGGAGAGGCACAUGUCCUCCACAUGCCUGUCCAAGUGUCCGAUAGGGUGGUCCCUGCUCUGAAGGAUGAGUGUGAGCCGCAGGCCGUGGGGAUGCUCUGAGGAUGUGGGUGUCUGCCUAGUGCUGGGUGCUGCCAAUCUCUGUUUCUCCCCACCCCUCUCUGGAGGUGCUACCAUCGUCCUUUGCCCUCUGCGUGCUCUCCUCCCACCCCUGCUGCCUCUUGUUCUCUUUCUCCCUUGGGCCAUGAAAGUGUCAGGGAGCCCAGCCACGGCCUGGACGGCAGCCUCAGCUCCCAGUUGUCAACAAUUGUGUGUGUGUGUAUGUGUGUGUGCGUGUGUGUGUGUGUGCAUGUGUGCAUGCAUACGUGUGAGUGCCUGUGUGUAUGUGUGGGUGUGUAGGGGCUGGGGCUGGGGUCAACAAAGGAUCAGAGCCCAGCAGUAGAGAGUUUCUGGGAGGGUGGCGUUGCCCAUGAGUCGUGCCCUGCACCCUGGAGCCCAGAGGACUCUUCGCUCAAACCCACCACCAGCUGACAACACCGGAGCAGCCAGAGCCACUUCGUUCGCUGCCCAGAGGAGCCUGGGAGAAGCCAGAGGUGCUCGAGGAUGGAUUCCUGGCUCCUGGUGCACUGCCACUCCAUGCCACCCACCUCCUAGUUUUCUGUCUUCUCCUGGUGGCAUCAGGCCUUGCUUCGUGUCCCACCAGGAGUUUCUGGGGCUGGGACAGUCCUGGCUGUCUACAACCUGGGCCUGGUCGAUCUCUCAGGGUACGUCUGGGAGGUCAUGGCCACCCUGCUCCUGGCUAACUGCAGCUACUUCCGUCAGCCAGUGGACUACGGCUGGAGCGAGUGUGGAAUGAGGGUAUGGCAGGGAGCAGAAGGUAAGCAGAAGGUUAGGAGGGAGAACUUCAUAACAAUCUGAGGUCAAGGAGGUGUCGCCUGAGCCUUUCGAUGAGAGGCAGGGGACUGGCUGGUUAUGUGCAGGCUUUGGAGUCGGAUGACCUCGGACCUUGGGUUGGAUCUCAGCUCUGUCAUUUCCUUGCUGUGUGAUUGUGGGUGGCACACCUAACUUUUCUGGGACUCAAUUCUCUUACCUACAAAAUUGAGAUGAUAAUACCUAUUUUCUAAAGGGAAAUGAUUGAAAGAAGAUGGAAUCAGAUAGUAUAUGAUAGAUCAUAUAUGAAAGUGUUUAGCACGGGGCAGCACACAUUGAGUGGUAGCUAAGUGGUAGCUUCAUCACUGUUAGCUGUUCUCCGUUUCCCCUGGAAGCAGAAAAAAAAACCUUCCUUGUAACAAAAGACUCUAGCUGAGGCUUGUCACCAGGUAGCUGAGGCUUGUCACCAGGUGAUAUGUAUGUUGAGUCACUGGAUGUUGGUGAUGGGCUGAAGUCCUGUGACUCAAAGUAUGAUCCUGGGGCUGACAGCAUCAGCAUCAUCUGGGAGCUUGUGGGAAAUGCAGAAUCUCAUGUUCCACUCCAUGCACACCGAUUAAGAAUCUGCUUUUCAAUGAACAAAAUGCCCACAUGCUCAUUAGAUCACAAGGUUCUGGGCUGGGGCACAUUGGGAGAGUCCUUCUGUGGUCACUCCAGUAGCUUCUCCCCUUCUUUCCUGUGCUAACAGGCAUCUACCUGCAGACAGGUAGGACUGUGUAAUCAGCGGUGCAUAGAACAGUGAGGAUUCGAGGCUGAACCCAGACGAGCAAGGACGAGCUGUGGCACCAGCAGGACUGCAGUCUGAUGAACUUCCCCUUUCUGCCCAGCAGAUGGCGAGCGUGUGCUGCUGGUGCCGCUUUCUGAAGGCUGUUGAAUUGCAUGACAGGUGUUCUUUACUUUAUGAAUGAAGGCAAAGCAGCCCACCUUUCUGCAACUCUACCAUCAUGGCGCCAUGCCCUGUGAUGGUUGGUCUGGAGUCGAAUAUGC
Molecule: long non-coding RNA, 4803 nt
Organism: Sapajus apella (tufted capuchin)
Lineage: Eukaryota; Metazoa; Chordata; Mammalia; Primates; Cebidae
Exons: 4
Source: RefSeq, a predicted model, not a curated record